GAUGAACGCUGGCGGCGUGGAUAAGGCAUGCAGGUCAAACGGCUCUUUUUAGCAAUAUUAAGAGUAGUGGCAAACGAGGUAGUAACACGUAGGUAUUUCCCCCGAAGUCUGGAAUAAUUCGCCGAAAGGCAAACUAAUACUAGAUAGUCUCUAAGGAGUAAAGAAGCAAUUCGCUUUGGGAAAAGCCUGCGGGAUAUCAGCUAGUUGGUAGGGUAAAAGCCUACCAAGGCUAUGACGUCUAGGGGAGGUGAGAGCCUGGCCCCCCACCGAUGGAACUGAGACACGGUCCAUACACCUACGGGUGGCCGCAGUCGAGAAUCUUCCGCAAUGGGCGAAAGCCUGACGGAGCGACGCCGCGUGGUUGAUGAAGUCCUUUCGGGACGUAAAAACCUUUUUAUGUGGGAGAAAGUCAUUGAUAGUACCACAUGAAUAAGGGGUU
RNAcentral lists this ribosomal RNA (439 nucleotides) under uncultured bacterium. RNAcentral describes it as "bacterial SSU rRNA". It matches the Rfam family "Bacterial small subunit ribosomal RNA", at positions 28 to 495 of the family's 1533-position model. The record is from RNAcentral.